AUAACAAUACAGGACUCUUUUGAGUCCCUGUAAUUGGAAUGAGUACAUUUUAAAUCCUUUAAUGAGGAUCUAUUGGAGGGCAAGUCUGGUGCAGAGCGACUGACCCGUGCGUGCUGCAGCUGAAA
Pelobates cultripes (western spadefoot toad) is the source of this 125-nucleotide non-coding RNA. Lineage: Eukaryota; Metazoa; Chordata; Amphibia; Anura; Pelobatidae. The record is from the annotation of a GenBank genome assembly.